RNAcentral lists this ribosomal RNA (375 nucleotides) under uncultured organism. RNAcentral describes it as "bacterial SSU rRNA". It matches the Rfam family "Bacterial small subunit ribosomal RNA", at positions 527 to 896 of the family's 1533-position model. The record is from RNAcentral.
CGGGGGGGCAAGCGUUGUUCGGAAUUACUGGGGCGUUAAAGGGCCAGUAGGCGGCCAAACUAGGUCGGAUGUGAAAUCCCCCAGGCUCAACCUGGGAACUGCAUCCGAUACUGGAUGGCUUGAAUUCGGGAGAGGGAUGCAGAAUUCCAGGUGUAGCGGUGAAAUGCGUAGAUAUCUGGAGGAAUACCGGUGGCGAAGGCGGCAUCCUGGACCGACAUUGACGCUGAACGGCGAAAGCUAGGGGAGCAAACGGGAUUAGAUACCCCGGUAGUCCUAGCCCUAAACGAUGAAUGCUUGGUGUAACGGGUAUCGAUCCCUGUUGUGCCGAAGCUAACGCAUUAAGCAUUCCGCCUGGGGAGUACGGUCGCAAGGCUG